AUUGAACGCUGGCGGCAGGCCUAACACAUGCAAGUCGAACGGUAACAGGAAGCAUCUUGCUUCUUUGCUGACGAGUGGCGGACGGGUGAGUAAUGUCUGGGAAACUGCCUGAUGGAGGGGGAUAACUACUGGAAACGGUAGCUAAUACCGCAUAACGUCGCAAGACCAAAGAGGGGGACCUUCGGGCCUCUCGCCAUCGGCUGUGCCCAGAUGGGAUUAGCUAGUAGGUGGGGUAACGGCUCACCUAGGCGACGAUCCCUAGCUGGUCUGAGAGGAUGACCAGCCACACUGGAACUGAGACACGGUCCAGACUCCUACGGGAGGCAGCAGUGGGGAAUAUUGCACAAUGGGCGCAAGCCUGAUGCAGCCAUGCCGCGUGUAUGAAGAAGGCCUUCGGGUUGUAAAGUACUUUCAGCGGGGAGGAAGGGAGUAAAGUUAAUACCUUUGCUCAUUGACGUUACCCGCAGAAGAAGCACCGGCUAACUCCGUG
This 490-nucleotide ribosomal RNA is filed under the name uncultured bacterium. Its description in RNAcentral is "partial 16S ribosomal RNA". It matches the Rfam family "Bacterial small subunit ribosomal RNA", at positions 30 to 507 of the family's 1533-position model. The record is from RNAcentral.